Molecule: long non-coding RNA, 722 nt
Organism: Capsicum annuum
Lineage: Eukaryota; Viridiplantae; Streptophyta; Magnoliopsida; Solanales; Solanaceae
Exons: 3
Source: RefSeq, a predicted model, not a curated record
AGAGAUAGAAACCCAUAGAAGACAGACUAUAUUUUCUCUAAUAUUCUAUUUCUUAGAAAAAUGCUAGGUAUCUUCCACAUAAGUGAGUAAGAGACACCUCUCCCGUCAGGAAAAGAUGAACGUUGCGAUCUUCAGUCUUAACGGAGGAAGGACAGAUAGUAGCCUGAGACAACGAGACACAUUAGGUUAAAAAGUUCUUCAUAGCUAGAAGGAGAAGCACUGUGGUGUUGAUACAGCUAACAUAAAAGAAUUUUGAAAGGGUAUCUCAGAUGAAUUUUGGAGCUUUUAGACUAGGUUUGGAGUAUUUUUGGGACACAGAAGCAGUAAGCCUCCACGAUAGCCCCGCAUCAUAAAAGAUGGAUAACGCGAUAGUCACCGUGCUAUAGAGGCUGGAUCACAUGAUGGGCGCCGCACCGCAGAGGCUAGUCCCUGCAAUAGCCACCGUGUCGCAGAGGUUUUGUUUUUCGUAGUUACUUUCAAAUAUCAUAGAGGGACCUUUUAGUCUUUUCCCCUUUAAACCAUUCCCCUUGAUUUUGAAACCUCCCCAAAAUGUAUUAUUGCCUUUGUCGAAUCCCCAAGCCAUCUUCCCUUAAGCAAAAGAAAAGAGACUACCGAGGGUUUGAUGAUCUUUAGCUUCAAGGUUAGAUUUUACGCUAUGUCUUCUUAAAUUCAUGGUGUCUAAAACUAUUCCAAAUAUCAUGAGCUAAAUUGAGUUUUCUUUA